This is a long non-coding RNA of Ostrea edulis (European flat oyster), 6119 nucleotides long. RefSeq lists it as uncharacterized. The record is from RefSeq and is a predicted model, not a curated record. NCBI's taxonomy places the organism in Eukaryota, Metazoa, Mollusca, Bivalvia, Ostreida, Ostreidae. The transcript has 2 exons.
AUGUGAUAGUGAUAUAAUUGUAUCUCUCUACCUGUUUGAUAUUUCCCAUGUGAUAGCACUAACAUUUGUUCACCUCGUCCACUUUAAUAUUUACUGUUAUCAUGCAUGUCCACGAUUAUAUUGCUUAUUGUGUACGAUGUCACUAGUUUACCUCCACUUGUGUAAUCCCUUCAUGUGUGAUAGCAUUAUUGCACAUCAACUUCCCUGUUGUAAUAGCAUGAUUGUAUCUCCACUUAUUUCAUAUGUGAAUCGACAGCGCUAGGAUGUAUCCACCUGAUUGCUGUUUGUGUGAUAGUUAACAUUAUUGUAUCUCCACCUGUUAAAGAUCUCCACCUGUUUAAUAUUUCCACCUGUUUAAGAUUUCCACCUGUUAAAGAUCUCCACCUGUUUAAUAUUUCCACCUGUUUAAGAUUCCCACCUGUUAAAGAUCUCCACCUGUUUAACAUUUCCACCUGUUUAAGAUUUCCACCUGUUAAAGAUAUCCACCUGUUUAAUAUUUCCACCUGUUUAAGAUUCCCACCUGUUAAAGAUCUCCACCUGUUUGAUAUUUCCACCUGUUUAAGAUUUCCACCUGUUAAAGAUUUCCACCUAUUUAAGAUCUCCACCUGUGUGAUAUUUCCUUUGUGAGAGUGCUAUUGUAGCUAUCAGGCUAUCGUAGCAACACAGUUUCAUAUGAUUCUGUUCUCCUGUAAACUCAGCCAAACUGCUGCGGUGGUUUAGAGGUUAGAGCGUUCGCCCCGCAUGCGGAAGUCCGGGGUUCGAAUCCCGUCCGCGACAGACCUAUAUGUAAGUCGUUAAAACAGUUCCAUCGCUACACGCUUUGCAAAAGGUGUGCAUGUCACGGGUCCUCGGAGAUGACUUUAAAACGGAUGUCCCGUGCCACAGUAGGUGUGACACGUUAAAGAACUCUCACUGCUCAAUGGCCGUAAGCGCCGAUCAAAGGUCUGAAUUUGAAGCCUUUCACUUGUCUUGGUGACGUCUCCAUAUGAGUGAAAAAUUCUCUCGAGAGACGUUAAACAAGAUACAAUCAACUCCGCCAUCUAUACAUUAUGUUACUCUCCUACAUCACUCUACAUUUAUGAUUAGUUACACUCAGUUUGGGACCGAUCAUCUAGGAUGUAAAAUGAAAAUCCACAUCGGGCGAGGCAAAGCUGAAUUCCAAUGAGGAUUUCCAUUUCACAUCCUUGAUGACUCCGGUAUAUGUCCCAAACUGAGCGAGUAACGAAUGUAUCCCGCUGAAGACCUUUACAAGAUUAAUUGAGAUUGUUUUGUUGUAUUUACGUCAAUUUUACCAUCUCUUUAGCCGUUUGGUUGAUCACCGUAUACACGUAUCAAAUUGAGCACCAUGUAAUCACAAUAUCGAAACAUCAAAUCGGGUACAUCCUUAAAACUGUUAAGGAUAUGCGGGACGAUGAUCACGUGAUGGAUUUUGAUUCUCCCAACAAAUUUUAAUUUUCUUUGAUGUUUUAAACAUUUACUACAGGUUGUUGAAUGUGGUCAAAUUUGGGGAAAUAUUUUACGCACAGAACUCUUGGUUUUUCUAUCUACAUCUUGUACAGUUUAGGCCAAGAUCCUUUAUUCAUGCAAUGCAACAAAAGGAUGACAUAACCUGAUGAUGGCUGAUUCUACCUGAAGUGAAAUUCUACAAAAGAAAAACACCCUAUAUAUAAGCAUUUUCACGGGCGCAUUAUGUACCGUUUGCAGUACUCUUGUUUUAUUUCAGUGAUUGAUUGCCUUGAACUUGUUGAGAUUACAUCACUUAAGGACAUGCGGGACGAUGUGGCCAAAAAUAACUCGUCAAUGAAUAUGUUUUUCUUUCUUUUUUCAUGAAGCACCAUCAGGAUGUCCUUUACAAUGUGUAUAAAUUUCAUGGUCACUUUUUAGUGAAAGCAGACAUACAUAGAAAGCAAAUACAUAAGAUGUGCACAAGUCACUUAUGCGUGAUGCUAUUGUUGUAAAAAUGAUGCACCACCUGCAUGGCACUCGGAAUUAUAUUAUAUUGAAGAAUGUAUCUCAUAUAACUGAAGGAGUCGUGUAGUACAUAUCCUCUGAUCUGUUAACGACAAGUGGUCAAUAUCAUAAAUCUCAUAAAAAAUGCAAAAUUAACAGUAGGACAAACACGGACCCCUGGACUCAGACUGAGAGGAUCAGGUGCAUAGGAGGAGUAAACAUCCCCUGUCGACCAGUAAAGCGCGCCGUGAGCCUUCUAUCUUUAUCAGGUAAACAGAGCAAUCCGUAGUCAAAACCAGUGUGUAACGAACCGUCUAACAAUUGGUAUGAAACACGUCAGGCAACGUUCGAUCUAACGACAGGUUCUAUUUACAAAUUGCAUCCUUAUAACGACGAUCGGAUUUGCAAAAUGCUGACUUCAAAUGAGACUGUUCAAACCUCAAUAACAUCAACUUAUUUGUCAUUAGCCUGUCCCGAUAUAAUAAUUGAUCAUACGCAGAACAUGCUCUCGCGUAUCGAAUCAUUCAAGAGCCAUAAACACCAUAUCCAGGUGAUAGUAGAAUAUUGCUACAUAGAUAUGGGAAGUUGAUGAUGGAGAUUUGUCAUAAAGAUGAGGUGUCUGUUUUGCCGUUAAAGUGAUACAAGCUGUAACUUACGAUAGAUAAGUAUAAGAACAAAUAGAUUAAAGUGAUUCAAUGCAUUGAAUCAUAUUGGAUCUGAAGCAGUAAACCUUUCAGAAUCAGCUGAAAAUGUCGAUUUAUGAAUUAUAAUUGUCUUUCUGACAGUAAUUCGUAUUGGUAAUCUCUGAUGUGCAUCAACCUCGGAUGUCACCAGUUUGGAGAAUUGCAAAAGAAAGGCACUGCGCACGUGUCCGAUUUCUAAACAGUUUAUCCAAUUUGCCACUUCUAUAGAAAAUUCAUUAUCAAAAUCUCAUUUUCGUGGCACACUGAGGAAUAGUACUUUCUCACACUUAAAUAGGUAAGACCAUUCAUGGCACGAUGUAAUAUUUUAAAAACAAAAGAAACGUGUAGGUUAGUCACAUCAGUUUCCAUCUUGAUAUGACCUAGGUCUCAGCAACCCGAUAAUGUUCGGCAAUCAUCGUUCUAAUGCCCAUACCACGACUGCAUCGGCGGCUCUGGUGGUUUAUACGAAACAAUCAUUAUAGGUAUGCUCUCAAGCAAUGUCCCCUUGUUUAUUUUUGCUGAAUUUCCCAUCAGAUCAUGGGCAUUAUAUUAGUUAUACCUAUAGGUGUGCAUGGGUGUAUACGGGGAUAGUUGAAAAAUACCGUCAGUUACACCUUGUAUAGCUUUAACAUCUACGUACAAUAAAAUACCAAAAUAUGAGGCAGAUGUGGAAGAGCCUCGAAUUCAUUUCAUAAAAGCAGAACAUUCAAGAAAUUGUAAAAUGAAACAAAAUACUUACGUGUACGUUUCAAGCUCAUUUCCUUGACUAAUACGAAAUUGAAAGUAGAAAAUUCUGACGUGUAGGAUGAAAAAAAAAAUUAAUAUAUAGAACAGUGAUCAACCAAUGACAGGUUAUAUAUGGAAGGUAAAGAUAACUAACAGUAAUCAAUUUCAUAACUUCUAUAAGAAAUGCAAAAUAGAGAGUUGGACAAACACGGACCUCUGGACAUACCAAAUAAGAUAAUUACUGUGAGCUCCAAUGACUAAAGCUAAAGCUGCACAUUCGUCUAGAAUUCCUUCUGUCACAAUCCCAGAAUUAUUUUAUCAUAAAUGGCGGAGACUUUGUAAAGUCACAUCUCCUUGAUUUCACGAUAACAGUGUGUCAUUUUGCUUGCAAAUUUCAUUCAAUGAUUGGCCCUGUGGUUUCAAUGAAAGUGAGUUAGGAUGACCAUGCUAUGGUAAUUGAGCACUGAAGUAAAACCUGUCCAAAACUUUCCAUGCUCAAUCAAGCAAAGUGACACCCUGCUAUUGGGGUGAUAAUACGAACUUUCAUAGAUUAUCUCAAUUUCAUCCUAGUCUUGUGGUCCUCUACACAAUGCAGGGCACCACGUUAUGCUUAAUGUACAGGUAUGACGAAAAUAUAAUACCGUGGCAAAGCGAUAGAUGCGAGACGACAAGGUAUCCCUUUUGAAGACGAGCAUUUUUCGCUCAUUUUGGGACGUCACCAGCUGUAGGUGAAGUACCACAAAUUUAGACCUACAUUUAGCGCUCAAGGCCGUAGCAGCGAAGGUUCUUUAACGUGCCAAUGCCUUUCGCGACACGGUACCUCUGUCUUUAAUGUCACAUCCGAAAGACCCGUGAUUCACACUUUUAAAUCCCAAACGUUUGGCGAAGGAGCUAUAGCUUCCUAUGUUUGUACGUCUUUUAAGUUUGACGCCGCCAUGACACAAGCGCUGUUCGAACUCAGGACCUCUCGUUCUACCUUGCCCCUUAUAGUAUGCCUAUGUAAACAUUUGACGUCACAUAACCAUGAUCAACAUAAUGAAAUCUAUGUUUGUGAAUUCUUUCAAUGUGUCAUUAAUUACAACAACGGGAAAAAAAAAGAGUUGGGGUCAACAUGUACAAAGAUACUAUUUUGCGCAUGUCGAAAUAUUCAAUCAUUGUAUUAAAUUAAAAUAUCAAAAUACGUCAUCGCUGCAUGAUGAUUAUUAGAUAAAGAGGACAAUCAGUCACAUUUCAUAUCCAGGAUAAGGAGGACUGUAGUGAUUGACCCACAUUGAUUGCCUCAUCAAACCUCGCUGCAUGUGGGUUUUAAUGAACUGAUUUCAAUUUGGGAAAAAGGUAAGGAUAGUAGUUCUCCUACUUCAUACAGUUCCAAAAUACUGACCAUGAGGAUAUCAAUUUCAAAGAAAUACAGUUCACUUAAUUUCCACUUGAACGAGCACUACUAUGUAACUAUUCAAGACUUAAUUCAUAUUUUUCCUACUACCGGUUUCAGUUUCAAAUAUCACAGUGGCGAAAAAUGUAGUUUCGGUUUUACUGUCACACUUAAAUUAAAAUACCAUUUUCUUGUUCUAAAACAGCUCUAUAAAAAUAUCAUUUUUAUUCGAGGAAUGAUUAUAUUGUAAUAUGAUAGUCUUUUAUUUUCACAGAUUAAAUAAUAGACUUAUGGCGGAUACUUAACACGAAUCCAAAUCUUAUACGUAUCAGUUCUUAUCUAAAUUCGACAUUUCGUGGAAAUCGCUGAUAACAUACAAGACACCCGGUAACCGGAUAUCUGUGCACUACUAUAAAAUCAAAUGUGUAACAGAGAUUUAAUUUUUCCACACAUUUUCAAAAAUAGAUAUAGUACUGUGUGAUUUCGACGAAAACGAUAAAUUGUUGACUUUUUUAUAAGGCUGCCUGUAUUAUUCGCCAUGUUAUGUAUAAAUAUCAUCUAUCCAUUUCUGUCCAUGUAUCUGUCUGCUGUGUAUAUUUACGACAAAACUACAUUGUUGACUGGUUUAUAUAACUAAUUGUACAAUCCUCUGAGGGGAAGCUGGUAACUAAAUUUCAGGGCAGUAUCUGUAUCCAUUAUGAAAAAAGUAGGAAACCUUUUUGACCUACAUUUAGUCUGAAAAUAGGUCAAGGACGGACUAAUUCAGCUGAAAUGCAAAAUGAACUUGCAUUCCUCUGAAUGGAAGCUUGUUACUCAAUGUCAGGGCAAUAUACAUGUAUGUAUCCGUAAUGAAAAAAGCUGUUUGGCAUACUUUUAGCAUUAAUGUAGGUCACGGACAGAUUGCCCAAUCCAGCUGAAAUGCAAAUUGAUAUUGUUUUCCUCCAAGAGGAAGUCUGUGACUAAAUUUCAGGGCAAUAUCUGUAUCCAUAAUGAAGAAAAGUCCGAAAACUAUUUGACCUACUUUUAGCCCUUAUGUAGGUCCCGAUCGGACGGAUCAAUCCAACUGAAAUACAAGCUAAACUUGUAUUCCUCCGAGAGAAAGUUUAUGAUUAAAUUUCAGGACAAUAUAUGUAUCCGUAAUGAGAAAGAGUCUGGGAAACUGUUUGACCUACUUAUAGCCCUAAAGUAGGUCAAGGUGUACCGAUCCAUGCAGCUGAAAUGCAAACACACUCUUACACUUCUUGAGAAACUGUGACUAGAUUUCAAAACUGUACGUGCAUCCGUUACGGGGAAAAAUCCGCAAAACAUUACCCCUGACGGACAGCCGGACGUACAGACGCACGGACAACGCCAUAACAUAUGUAGAACUAACGACGGGUGUAUAAAAA